RNAcentral lists this ribosomal RNA (296 nucleotides) under uncultured Enterobacteriaceae bacterium. Its description in RNAcentral is "partial 16S ribosomal RNA". It matches the Rfam family "Bacterial small subunit ribosomal RNA", at positions 1085 to 1382 of the family's 1533-position model. Lineage: Bacteria; Pseudomonadati; Pseudomonadota; Gammaproteobacteria; Enterobacterales; Enterobacteriaceae. The record is from RNAcentral.
GUCCGCAACGAGCGCAACCCUUAUCCUUGUUGCCAGCGGUCCGGCCGGGAACUCAAAGGAGACUGCCAGUGAUAAACUGGAGGAAGGUGGGGAUGACGUCAAGUCAUCAUGGCCCUUACGACCAGGGCUACACACGUGCUACAAUGGCGCAUACAAAGAGAAGCGACCUCGCGAGAGCAAGCGGACCUCAUAAAGUGCGUCGUAGUCCGGAUUGGAGUCUGCAACUCGACUCCAUGAAGUCGGAAUCGCUAGUAAUCGUGGAUCAGAAUGCCACGGUGAAUACGUUCCCGGGCCUU